UGGCUUAGCUGGUAAAGAAUCUGCCUGCAAUGCGGGAGACCUGGGUUCAAUCCCCAG
Molecule: transfer RNA, 57 nt
Filed under: Bos taurus (domestic cattle)
Lineage: Eukaryota; Metazoa; Chordata; Mammalia; Artiodactyla; Bovidae
Also listed under: 5 other names
Rfam family: tRNA
About the family: Transfer RNA (tRNA) molecules are approximately 80 nucleotides in length. Their secondary structure includes four short double-helical elements and three loops (D, anti-codon, and T loops). Further hydrogen bonds mediate the characteristic L-shaped molecular structure. tRNAs have two regions of fundamental functional importance: the anti-codon, which is responsible for specific mRNA codon recognition, and the 3' end, to which the tRNAs corresponding amino acid is attached (by aminoacyl-tRNA synthetases). tRNAs cope with the degeneracy of the genetic code in two manners: having more than one tRNA (with a specific anti-codon) for a particular amino acid; and 'wobble' base-pairing, i.e. permitting non-standard base-pairing at the 3rd anti-codon position.
Source: Rfam by way of RNAcentral